Molecule: transfer RNA, 72 nt
Filed under: Ipomoea nil (Japanese morning glory)
Lineage: Eukaryota; Viridiplantae; Streptophyta; Magnoliopsida; Solanales; Convolvulaceae
Rfam family: tRNA
About the family: Transfer RNA (tRNA) molecules are approximately 80 nucleotides in length.
Source: Rfam by way of RNAcentral
GGGCAUUUGGUCUAGUGGUAUGAUUUUAGCUUCGGGUCCGAGAAGUCCUAAGUUCAAUUCUCAGAAUGUCCC